This 719-nucleotide ribosomal RNA is filed under the name Pilidium eucalyptorum. Its description in RNAcentral is "LSU rRNA". It matches the Rfam family "Eukaryotic large subunit ribosomal RNA", at positions 66 to 812 of the family's 3401-position model. Lineage: Eukaryota; Fungi; Ascomycota; Leotiomycetes; Chaetomellales; Chaetomellaceae. The record is from RNAcentral.
CAACAGGGAUUGCCUCAGUAACGGCGAGUGAAGCGGCAACAGCUCAAAUUUGAAACCUGCCUCCCGGCCGGAUUGUAAUUUGUAGAGGAUGUUUUGGGGUAGGCACUGAUCUAAGUUUCUUGGAACAGUACGUCACAGAGGGUGAGAAUCCCGUUCGUGGUCGGCUGCCUGCACCGUGUAAAACUCCUUCAACGAGUCGAGUUGUUUGGGAAUGCAGCUCAAAAUGGGUGGUAAAUUUCAUCUAAAGCUAAAUAUUGGCCAGAGACCGAUAGCGCACAAGUAGAGUGAUCGAAAGAUGAAAAGCACUUUGGAAAGAGAGUUAAACAGCACGUGAAAUUGUUGAAAGGGAAGCGCUUGCAAUCAGACUUGCGCGUAGGUAAUCAAGGGCGGUUCGCUGCCCUGCACUUGCCUGCGCUCAGGCCAGCAUCAGUUCUGGGGGUGGGAGAAAGGCCGUUGGAAUGUGGCUCUUCGGAGUGUUAUAGCCUUCGGUGCCAUGCUGCCUCCCGGGACUGAGGACCGCGCUUCGGCUAGGAUGCUGGCGUAAUGAUUGUAAGCGACCCGUCUUGAAACACGGACCAAGGAGUCUAACAUCUAUGCGAGUGUUUGGGUGUCAAACCCACACGCGGAAUGAAAGUGAACGGAGGUGAGAACCCCUGAGGGUGCAUCAUCGACCGAUCCUGAUGUCUUCGGAUGGAUUUGAGUAUGAGCAUAGCUGUUGG